GAUUAUCUAGUGUAGUGGUAGCACUCCAAAGAUUAACAAACCUAGGCUCUAAUUAAUCCGAGGAAGGGGCGGUUCAAGUCCGCCGAUAAUCA
This 92-nucleotide transfer RNA is filed under the name Bacteriophage sp. RNAcentral describes it as "tRNA-Arg". The record is from RNAcentral.